UAGCUGUGAUUCCAAGAUCUCGUUGGCCUA
This 30-nucleotide non-coding RNA is filed under the name Rattus norvegicus (Norway rat). Lineage: Eukaryota; Metazoa; Chordata; Mammalia; Rodentia; Muridae. The record is from RNAcentral.